GACGAACGCUGGCGGCGUGCUUAACACAUGCAAGUCGUACGGUAAGGCCCUUUCGGGGGUACACGAGUGGCGAACGGGUGCGUAACACGUGAGUAACCUGCCCACAACUUUGGGAUAACGCUAGGAAACUGGUGCUAAUACUGGAUAUGUGCUCCUGCUGCAUGGUGGGGGUUGGAAAGCUCCGGCGGUUGUGGAUGGACUCGCGGCCUAUCAGCUUGUUGGUGGGGUAGUGGCCUACCAAGGCGGCGACGGGUAGCCGGCCUGAGAGGGUGACCGGCCACAUUGGGACUGAGAUACGGCCCAGACACCGACUGGAGGCAGCAGUGGGGAAUAUUGCACAAGGGGCGCAAGCCUGAUGCAGCAACGCCGCGGGCGGGAUGACGGCCUUCGGGUUGUAAACCGCUUUCAGCAGGGACGGAGCUUUUUGUGACGGUACCUGCAGAAGAAGCACCGGCUAACUACGUG
RNAcentral lists this ribosomal RNA (465 nucleotides) under uncultured bacterium. Its description in RNAcentral is "partial 16S ribosomal RNA". It matches the Rfam family "Bacterial small subunit ribosomal RNA", at positions 28 to 507 of the family's 1533-position model. The record is from RNAcentral.